This 500-nucleotide ribosomal RNA is filed under the name uncultured bacterium. RNAcentral's name for it is "partial 16S ribosomal RNA". It matches the Rfam family "Bacterial small subunit ribosomal RNA", at positions 30 to 523 of the family's 1533-position model. The record is from RNAcentral.
AUUGAACGCUGGCGGCAUGCCUUACACAUGCAAGUCGAACGGCAGCACGGGAGCAAUCCUGGUGGCGAGUGGCGAACGGGUGAGUAAAGUAUCGGAACGUGCCCAGUCGUGGGGGAUAACGUAGCGAAUGUUACGCUAAUACCGCAUACGAUCUAUGGAUGAAAGCGGGGGAUCGCAAGACCUCGCGCGAUUGGAGCGGCCGAUAUCAGAUUAGGGAGUUGGUGGGGUAAAGGCUCACCAAGCCGACGAUCUGUAGCUGGUCUGAGAGGACGACCAGCCACACUGGGACUGAGACACGGCCCAGACUCCUACGGGAGGCAGCAGUGGGGAAUUUUAGACAAUGGGCGAAAGCCUGAUCCAGCCAUGCCGCGUGCAGGAUGAAGGCCUUCGGGUUGUAAACUGCUUUUGUACGGAACGAAAAGGUUUGGCCUAAUAAGCUGAGCUCAUGACGGUACCGUAAGAAUAAGCACCGGCUAACUACGUGCCAGCAGCCGCCGUAA